GAUGAACGCUGGCGGCGUGCUUAACACAUGCAAGUCGAACGGAAAGACGCGGAGGUUGCUUGUCGGACGUUAGCCGCGGGCGUGUGAGAAACGCGUGUAUCACGUGCCUGUCAGUAUGGGAUCACUAGGGGAAACCGGAGCUAAUACGGUAUAAGAUAUUGAACCGCGUGGGGAGAUGGAAAAUGUCGGCUUUGGCGUCUGGAAUAGCUGGUUUCGCGCUGGAUUAUGUGGUUGGUAGGGUCAAAGCCUAUCAAGGCAACGAGGCGUAGCCGGCCUGAGAGGGUGAUCGGCCACACGGGAACUGAGACACGGCCCAGACUCCUACGGGAGGCAGCAGUGGGGAAUCUUAGGCAAUGGGCGAAAGCUUGACGCAGCAAGGCCGCGUGAGUGAAGAAGGUCUUCGGAUCGUAAACCUCUGUUAUUAGGAACGAACAGAUGUGUAAUAAGACCUGGAGGUAUUGACGGUACCUGAUCAAAAAGCCCCGGCUAACUACGUG
RNAcentral lists this ribosomal RNA (497 nucleotides) under uncultured bacterium. Its description in RNAcentral is "partial 16S ribosomal RNA". It matches the Rfam family "Bacterial small subunit ribosomal RNA", at positions 28 to 507 of the family's 1533-position model. The record is from RNAcentral.